GAGGAAUAUUGGUCAAUGGGCGAGAGCCUGAACCAGCCAAGUAGCGUGCAGGAUGACGGCCCUCCGGGUUGUAAACUGCUUUUAGUUGGGAAUAAAAAAGGGACUUGUCCCUUCUUGUAUGUACCUUCAGAAAAAGGACCGGCUAAUUCCGUGCCAGCAGCCGCGGUAAUACGGAAGGUCCAGGCGUUAUCCGGAUUUAUUGGGUUUAAAGGGAGCGUAGGCGGAUUGUUAAGUCAGCGGUUAAAGGGUGUGGCUCAACCAUGCAUUGCCGUUGAAACUGGCGAUCUUGAGUGCAGACAGGGAUGCCGGAAUUCGUGGUGUAGCGGUGAAAUGCUUAGAUAUCACGAAGAACUCCGAUCGCGAAGGCAGGUGUCCGGGCUGCAACUGACGCUGAGGCUCGAAAGUGUGGGUAUCAAACAGGAUUAGAUACCCUGGUAGUCCACACAGUAAACGAUGUAUACUCGCGGUUUGCGAUAGACAGUAAGCCGCCAAGCGAAAGCAUUAAGUAUACCACCUGGGGAGUACGCCGGCAACGGUG
This 538-nucleotide ribosomal RNA is filed under the name uncultured bacterium. RNAcentral describes it as "bacterial SSU rRNA". It matches the Rfam family "Bacterial small subunit ribosomal RNA", at positions 356 to 896 of the family's 1533-position model. The record is from RNAcentral.